GAAAACCCCACAAAGCCUACUAUAAAUUCUCUCCUCCAUCUUCAUUUUCCUAACCAUCCCACUGCAAAUCCUCCUUCGCAGCAUAUUCUUCUCUCCCUCCACUCCUUUGCAGCAUAUUCUUCUCUCCCUCCACUCCUUUCAAAUCAACGACCAGAAGGGAAAGAAAAUGGCCAGUUUACGCCUUGCAAGAUUUAUAACAGAAGUUGUGCCAUCACAACUUGCAAUUACCACGAGGAGGCAGAACAAACCCUGCUUCGUGAUGGAUACAAUUCGCGAAGACAGAGAAGAAGAAGAGAGACAUGCACAUGAAAGCUUCAACAAUACUUCUCUCUCUUCUUCUCCAGGAAGCUCUUCUGCUUCUUGGGCAGUGGCUGCUUCAACUGGUUUGAACUCCAAGGUCUACUUCGACCAAGUUCGAACCUCUAUGUUUGUUGUGUUCGGAAAUGACCGUGUUUGUUAGCUGAUGUUGACAGUGCGCAUCUUCGAGGCACAAGGCCUUUCCACCAUAUUUCCUCUUCAUCUGAUAGGAUAAGACCAAGGGCUCCUUUCCUGAGACUGGAGAGAGAGAGAGAAUAUUUUCUUUCUUGAAGUCGGGCUGCUCUCUUGUUUCCCUUUUUUUUUUAAUCUUUGAAGGGGAAUUCUCGUGCUAUGUCUUCAUGGCAAUGAGCUGUAUAUUAUGUGUAGUAAAAUCUUUCGAUUUGUUUCUUCCAUUGUUCUUCUUAUUUUCCUUCUUAUGUCUCAAAAAU
RNAcentral lists this long non-coding RNA (746 nucleotides) under Eucalyptus grandis. RNAcentral describes it as "long non-coding RNA (EGRA_LNC002961)". The record is from RNAcentral. Lineage: Eukaryota; Viridiplantae; Streptophyta; Magnoliopsida; Myrtales; Myrtaceae.